Molecule: microRNA precursor, 95 nt
Filed under: Pelobates cultripes (western spadefoot toad)
Lineage: Eukaryota; Metazoa; Chordata; Amphibia; Anura; Pelobatidae
Source: RNAcentral
AUUAGGGGGAAGGCUUAACCCAUUCAUAAACAUAGCAGUUUCAGAGAAACUGCUAUGUUUAUGAAUGGGUUAAGCCUUCCCCCUAAUCCUCUAGU